RNAcentral lists this ribosomal RNA (607 nucleotides) under Clitocybe robusta. RNAcentral describes it as "eukaryotic LSU rRNA". The stretch from base 237 to 390 matches the Rfam family "5.8S ribosomal RNA". Lineage: Eukaryota; Fungi; Basidiomycota; Agaricomycetes; Agaricales; Clitocybaceae. The record is from RNAcentral.
CAUUAUUGAAUAAACUUGGUUGGGUUGAUGCUGGCCUCUCGGGGCAUGUGCACGCCUACCGCCAUUUUUACCACCUGUGCACCUUUUGUAGACCUGGAUAUCUCUCGAGGAAACUCGGUUUGAGGACUGCUGUGCGUAAGCCAGCUUUCCUUGCAUUUCCGGUCUAUGUUUUCAUAUACCCCAUUAGAAUGUUAUAGAAUGUCAUUAAUGGGCUUCAUUGCCUUUAAAAUUAAUACAACUUUCAACAACGGAUCUCUUGGCUCUCGCAUCGAUGAAGAACGCAGCGAAAUGCGAUAAGUAAUGUGAAUUGCAGAAUUCAGUGAAUCAUCGAAUCUUUGAACGCACCUUGCGCUCCUUGGUAUUCCGAGGAGCAUGCCUGUUUGAGUGUCAUUAAAUUCUCAACCUUUCCAGUUUGUUAUGAACGGGUCAGGCUUGGAUGUGGGGGUUGCAGGCUUCUCAGAAGUCAGCUCCUCUUAAAUACAUUAGCAGUACCUUUGUGGACCAGCUUUGGUGUGAUAAUUAUCUACGCCAUGGUUGUGAAGCAGCUUUACAUGGGGUUCAGCUUCUAACAGUCCAUUGACUUGGACAAUUUUUGACAUUUUGACCU